Long non-coding RNA from Vidua macroura (Pin-tailed whydah), 786 nucleotides. RefSeq lists it as uncharacterized. The transcript is spliced from 4 exons. NCBI's taxonomy places the organism in Eukaryota, Metazoa, Chordata, Aves, Passeriformes, Viduidae. The record is from RefSeq and is a predicted model, not a curated record.
UGUGGGCUGGACCUUUUGUCCAGGAGGAUCCCAUGAGAGACCGUGUCAAAAGCUUUGCUGAAGUCCAAAAAGAUUACAUCAACUGGCUUUCCCAUAUUGGCUAGGUUUUGGAUGCUGAUGGCACCCUAAAACAGUCUGGUGUCAACAAAUGCAAAAUUGCUCUGCUUCUGCUUUGAACUAGUCUGUCAUCGUAACCUGUUGUCUCAGGCAGAGCUUCCAUCUGUGUGCCACUGGGACAGUUGCUGUCACCCUUGGAGUGAGAUGUCCGUCAUGAGCAGGGAAAGCUGGUGACUUUCACGAUACCCAAAAACCUGGAUUCGCAGCAUUUUUGAAGAUCUGACGCAAAAACUCGAGUGAAAUUACAUGUUACCAUAGAGUUUUGGACUGCAGGAAGCCGAGGCUACAAAGCUCUUCUGGACACAGCGACAGGAGCUACACCCAAACAAGCUCAGAAACCGGGAAGUGAAUGUCUGUGGGAAGUGGCUGCUCUCUUCCCCCAGCAUGUGCAGGAUAAAUACCUGCCUAGGAAAUGUCCCUCACUCACCUAAGGGCUCCUGCACUUCCUCCCAACCUCCAGACGCCCUUCCUAAGGGAUAGCAAAAUGUCCUGCAUUCCUCUCAGCUCACCAAGGGGACAGCUUGUGCACUGGGCUCUACUCCUGGGUUUUCCCAGCAGGAUCCCACACUGCCUUACAGAAGGAAAGGUGUGUUGCUCACCACCUCUCUGGGAGUGAGCCCUAGUCUCCUCAUCUAAUAAAAGCAGCCCCAUUGCUCUAUGUUGAGAAAA